Long non-coding RNA from Monopterus albus (swamp eel), 419 nucleotides. RefSeq lists it as uncharacterized. The transcript is spliced from 3 exons. Lineage: Eukaryota; Metazoa; Chordata; Actinopteri; Synbranchiformes; Synbranchidae. The record is from RefSeq and is a predicted model, not a curated record.
GUUUGUUACUGUGAAUUUUCUUCAAAUAAUCCCAGGCCUUUCUCAGAUCAGAGUUCAGACUGAGGCAUGUCUGGUCAGCUGUCAGCUCGGUUCUGGUGAGACUCAGCUGGCUUGCAGGGUUGAUAUCCGUUUUUCUAAUAGUGGCUCAGAUGGAGACCCUUCCUAACAGCCACAAACACAGUUACAAACACUCACAGUUGGAAGAUUCCCAGUAUAACCACAGUCUGAUCUGGUGGCCACUGAGCAGCUCCACUGGGGCAGAUGGAGGUUAGGUUUCUUGCUCAGGGGCACCUUGGCUGUGGUAAUAGGCCUCUUCCAGUCCACAAAAGUCCAACUAAAAACUCCACCUCUCCGCUGAGCCACAGGGAGAAGACUGAAAUCCUGUCUGAUGAAGCUGCAGCAUCGGAAAACCAGAGACG